AGCAAACAACACACGAAAAACAGAAUCUGUCAAAAACAGAACGGUCUGUAGUAAUAUGUAACUAACGCAAACUUCUGGACUCCAAAACUUCAGCCAAAAUAGGACGACCUAGACAAUUUGUUUAUUGAUCAGAAGCAAUUGGAAUCAAUAUUUUAUCACGUUCUGGUGAUUUUUAACAAUUAUUUUCGUGAACAGAAAGUUUCUCGAAUUUUCAGCAAGAUCAAAUAACUAUCAUCCAAGAAGAUCCUAUAGGUUAAACUUGGCACAAACACUAAUUAAAACAUAAAAACACAUCUAACCAGAGGCUAGAUCAAAUAUUUAUUCCAAAACAGAAGCAAAAAGCAAAAAACUAAAAAAAAAUUGGGUUGCCUCCCAACAAGCGCUAUCGUUUAACGCCCCCAGCUAGGCAUAAGAUUUCAAUGAUGCUCACAUGAACGACAAGAAUUGAAGCACAAAGAGAGCAUCAUAAAACACAUGACAAACAAAUUUAAGUCUAACAUACUUCAUAUGCAUAGGCAUCUUAUAAGCAAACAAAUUAUCAAGGCAAGCAAAAUCUAGCAUAUGCCAGGAAGCGGAAAGAAACAAUAGCAAUCUCAACAUAACGAGGUAAUUUAGGAACAUGAAAAUUUCUACAAACAUAUUUUCCUCUCGCAUAAUAACUAAAUGUAGGAUCAUAAGCAAAUUCAACAAAAUAGCUAUCACAUAACAUAUUCUCAACACGAUCCACAUGCAUGCGAAGUUGACACUCUUCCAAAAUAGUGGGAUUAACAUUAACUAAAGUCAUGACCUCUCCAAACCCACUUUUAUCAAAAAUAUCAUAAGAUUGAACAUACUCCAAAUAUGUGGGAUCUAAAGUUGACACUCUUCCAAACCCGCUUUCAAUAAUAUUGCAAACACUAUUAUCAAUCUCAUAGUCAUCAUGGGGCUUAAAUAAAUUUUCAAGAUCAUAAGAAGAAUCACCCCAAUCAUGAUCAUUGCAACAAGUAGUAGACAUAGCAAAACUAGCAUCCCCAACCUUAGGGUUUUGCAUAUUAUUAGCACAAUUGACAUCAAGAGAAUUUAUAGUAAAAUCAUUGCAAUCAUGCUUUUUUAUCGAAGGAACUAUCAAAUAUGGGUGCAAUGGCAACGAUCUCAUGUUUAACAUACGGAACUAUAGCAAAUUCAACUUCAUAAAUAUUGGCAUCAUGGCCACAAGAAUAGCAAGCAUCAUGUUCAUCAAGGGAUAUUUCAAUCAAAUCAUCGGUAUCACAAUUAUCUAUAGAUUCGUGCAUAUCAUUAUUUUCUUUAGAAGCAACGGUCAUUCUUUCAAUAAAUUCUUUGACAUAGACAUUAUGAGCAUAGUUUUCAUACCAAUAUUCAAGUAUGUCAAAAUUUUCAGAUUCGUAAAGAGUAAUAUCAUACUUUUCAAUCAAAGAAGCAGCUUCAUAAGAACCCUUAAAAGCAAGAAAUUCUUCAAUUUGUUCGAUAUCAUAAUAGCUAUAAACACCCUUUGCAUAAGAAGAUAAUAUUUCAUUUUCAUUAAACUCACAUAGAUAGGGGAGGUGUUUUUUAGGGUUCUUAGAGCAACAAGUAAUACCACAAAUUUCACAAAGAUUCCAACCAUAACACAGCAAUUUGUUUAUUUGAUUCCAUAAGAGUCUCCCUUUUUUAGACAAACGGUGACGCACAAAAUGAGCAUGCUCAUCUAAAGAUUUCCCAUCAACUAAGCUAGUUGGGGUUUCAGCACGAGCGCAUAAGGAUCGAAGAUGAUCCAAGUAGAACACUUUAAGUGGAUCCAUAUCAAUAGGUGUUUAGCAAGCACAGAUGCAAGCAAAUAGAAGGCACGUGGAAACACAAACAAAAAGGCAUACGGGAAGAAGGCGAAUAAAAUGAAAAGGGUGAAGUGGAGGAGAGGAAAACGAGAGGCAAAUGGCAAAUAAUGUAAUGCGAGGGAUAAGAGUUUGUGAUGAGUACAUGGUAUGUUGACUUUUGCGUAGACUCCCCGGCAACGGUGCCAGAAAUCCUUCUUGCUACCUCUUUAGCACUGCGUUGGUUUUCCCUUCAAGAGGAAAGGAUGAUGCCGUAAAGCAGCGUAAGUAUUUCCCUCAGUUUUUGAGAACCAAGGUAUCAAUCCAGUAGGAGGCCACGCACGAGUCCCUCGCACUACACAAAUAAAUAAAAUCCUCGCAACCAACGCAAUAAAGGGGUUGUCAAUCCCUUCACGGUCACUUACGAAAGUGAGAUCUGAUAGAUAUGAUAAGAUAAUAUUUUUGGUAUUUUUAUGAUAAAGAUGCAAAGUAAAGAAAGCAAAAUAAAAACGGCGCCAGAAAUAGCUUGUUGACGGGAUAUUAAUAUGAUGGAAAAUAGACCUGGGGGGCAUAGGUUUCACUAGUGGCUUCUCUCGAGAGCAUAAGCAUUACGGUGGGGUAAACAAAUUACUAUUGAGCAAUUGACAGAACUGAGCAUAGUUAUGAGAAUAUCUAGGUAUGAUCAUGUAUAUAGGCAUCACGUCCGCGACAAGUAGACCGACUCCUGCCUGCAUCUACUACAAUUACUCCACACAUCGACCACUAUCCAGCAUGCAUCUAGAGUAUUAAGUUCAAAAGAACAGAGUAACACUUUAAGUAAGAUGACAUGAUGUAGAGGGAUAAACUCAUGCAAUAUGAUAUAAACCCCAUCUUGUUAUCCUCGAUGGCAACAAUACAAUACGUGUCUUACUGCCCCUACUGUCACUGGGAAAGGAUACCGCAAGAUUGAACCUAAAGCUAAGCACUUGUCCCAUUGCAAGAAAGAUCAAUCUAGUAGGCCAAACCAAACUGAUAAUUCGAAGAGACUUGCAAAGAUAACCAAUCAUACAUAAAAGAAUUCAGAGAAGAUUCAAAUAUUGUUCAUAGAUAAACUUGAUCAUAAACCCACAAUUCAUCGGUCUCAACAAACACACCGCAAAAGAAGAUUACAUUGAAUAGAUCUCCUCGAGAAUCGUGGAGAACUUUGUAUUGAGAUCCAAAGAGAGAGAAGAAGCCAUCUAGCUAAUAACUUUGGACCCGAAGGUCUGAGGCAAACUACUCACACAUCAUCGAAGAGGCUAUGGUGUUGAUGUAGAAGCCCUCCGUGAUCGAUGCCCCCUCCGUCGGAGCACCGGAAAAGGCCCCAAGAUGGGAUCUCACGGGUACAGAAGGUUGCGGCGGUGGAAUUAGGUUUUUGGCUUCGUAUCUGGUAGUGUGGGGGUACGUAGGUAUAUAUAGGAGGAAGAAGUACGUCGGUGGAGCGACAUGGGCCCCACGACGGUGGAGGGCGCACCUGGGGGGGGUAGGCGCGCCCCCCUACCUCGUGCCUUCCUGGUAGCUUUCUUGACAUAGGGUCCAAGUCCUCUGGAUCACGUUCGUUCCAAAAAUCACGUUCCCGAAGGUUUCAUUCCGUUUGGACUCCGUUUGAUAUUUCUUUUUGUGCGAAACUUUGAAAUAGGCAAAAAACAGCAAUUCUCGGCUGGGCCUACGGUUAAUAGGUUAGUCCCAAAAAUAAUAUAAAAGUGUAUAAUAAAGCCCAAUAAUGUCCAAAAUAGAAUAUAAUAUAGCAUGGAACAAUCAAAAAUUAUAUAUACGUUGGAGACGUAUCACUAGCCAUGUUGGACUGGUUUCUCCUAGCAGUCUCUAGGGAUUUUUGUCUGCGUGGUACCGAAUGGAUCUAGUAUCCAAUCUCUUUAAAUAGGCGCUCUUCCUUGCCUAGAAGGGGUGCUUUUUGCAAAAAUACCCUGACCUUCCGCAUUCGCUCGACACGUUGAAGACGAAGUUAUUUGACGCGCAGAAGCCGAGGGGAGCGACAUUGAUCAACGACCUAUACAUUACUUGGAGGUCAUCGGAGGAGGAACCCGCCUUGCAAUGCCGAAGACAAUUUGUGUGUCGAACACUUCAUUAUUAAAGACUGGUUCGGGGGCUACUGAGGGAGUCCUGGACUAAGGGGUCCUCGGGCGUCCGGCCUGUUAUCCAUGGGCCGGACUGGUGGGUUGUGAAGACAUGAAGGCCGAAGGCUCUACCCAUGUCCGGAUUGGACUCUCCUUGGCAUGGAAGGCAAGCUUGGCGAUAAACUUUGAAGAUUCCUUCCUAUGUAACCGACUCUAUGUAACCCUAGAUCCCCCCGGUGUCUAUAUAAACUGGAGGGUGUAGUUCGGAAAGGAUAUACUCAUUACUCAUAGUCAUAUAGGCUAGACUUCUAAGGUUUAGCCAUUACGAUCUCGUGGUAGAUCAACUCUUGUAGCACUCAUAUUCAUCAAGAUCAAUCAAGCAGGAAGUAGGGUAUUACCUCCAUAGAGAGGGCCCGAACCUGGGUAAACAUCGUGUCCCCUGUCUCCUGUAACCAUCGACCUUAUACGCAUAGUUUGGGAUCCCCUACCCAAGAUACGCGGGUUUUGACACCGACAGGGGCAAAUCCCUCCUAUUCCUCGGUGGCAGACAGUCGCCCCGUGAGACGAUGUGAACGGCGAGGGAGAGGAUGGCGGGGAAGCAUCACGGGCCAACUGUUUUUCUCCUCUUGCAGUUCGGUUCGGUCGACGAAGACUCCACCGGCUCGCUCUGGCACGACACCCUCACAAACGGCACCCUAUAGAUGCUUGAUCCUUCAAUCUCUGGUGGAUGCUCCAUCCGGGAUCGAUACUCCCACCACGGCUCCCUCCUGAUCAGAUUCGGUGAAUCUGUUUGCUCCAUGGCCCAGAGGAGCAGCUCUAUGUACUCCCGCGCGACUCCCUCCGGGAGUAUCGCCGCCUUUUGGCUCCGUUGCAGAUAUUUGUCCAUGGAUGUCGCCAUCGCCGCUAGUUCGUCCUUGUUGUCAAACCAAGACUGUAUCUCCAACAUCCUAGCUAGCUUCACAGGGUCGCCGUCUGCGAUCCUCACGUAUAGGUUGUACUCCUCCAUCGAUCUACUUCUCCACAGCACCUUCACUCGCCGGCGGUGGUUUUUGAAUGAAGAGGAGAGGAGUAGCGCUGGUUUUGGUUUAGAAUGGGAGAGGGGCAACGCUGGUUUUGGAUUGGAACAGGAGAGGAGGGCAGUGGUUUUGAAAUGGAAGAGGAGAGGAGCGGCGCUGGAUUUAGAUUGGAACACAAGAGGAGCGGCGGUGGUUUAAGAGGAGAAGAGCGGAAGAGCGGCGCUGGUCUUGGAAGUAUUUUUUUUGUUUUGCGUAUUUUGGGUCAAAGUUUGACCACGUACUGUAUUUGACAAGCAAAAUGUGAAUGCAUGUCACCAAAAAUUGUGACGUUUGGUUCGUAUCUAAAUGUACUUUCAAAUUAUAUUAUUUUUGCAACGUAUAACAUACAUUUUAUUUGGGAAAAUCAAUGUCAAUUAUGACCCAGGAUAAAAGGGAGACUAGUUAAUGUGGGGUCGCUUUCUUAAUUGAAGGGUAAAUUGAUUUUGAUUUUGAUCCAGCCACAGCGCGCCGGCCCUCUCGUCCAAUCCUAAAUCGCUGUCGCACGCUCCUCUCCCUCUUCUCCAUUGCAAAACCACCUCCUCUCCUCUCCAUCAUCUCCAUUCCAAAACCACCGUCUCGCCUCUCCCUCUUUUCCAUUGCAAAACCACCUCCUCUCUCCUCGGACGAGGAUCCCCGGACGUAGCCCAUCCUACCAUUGAGACACUGACACAUGGGUCCCACCAAGCGCGGGGCCCACCUGUCAGCGACCGAAAGGCAGGGGAAUCUCUCCUCUCCAUCAUCUCCAUUCCAAAACCACCAUCUCGCCUCUCCCUCUUCACUAUUGCAAGACCACCGUCUCUCCUCCCAUCUUCCAAAGCUAGCACCGGACCACUCAGAACGACAUCUAUGGAGGGGAUGCAGCAGCGAAUCAGGCAGAUCGCCGGCGGCGACCGGGCAAAGUGAGCCAGUUUGAAGGAGAUCCUUACUUGGUUUGACAAUGAGUGGGAGAUUUCAAGGACGGUGAGGGCCAUGUGGCAAUGUCUGCGAAAGAACGAGACGACGACGAUGAGGGCAGCGAUGUAGUCCUCGGCGGCAGUCACGCCGCAGUCCUUCGAGUUCAUUGAGUAUCUCCUCUAGGCGAUGGGCGUACAGGUCGAAGGUAAAGCAUCCAGAGGAUAAUAAAUCGAUCGAGUACGGUGUGCCGUUCGUGAGGGUGCAGAGCCAGCCGGAGCCACAGGAGGCUGGAUGGCGCGACGUCGCUUCCCCUCCGUUCUCCACGGUUCCCUUGACGCUCACCUCGUUUCAACGGCAUCGUUAGGGUUUAAGGUAAGCUUCGCACUAACCUAAUCUUCCAUCUACUGAUGCUUACAAUCAGUGUGACAACUAAUAAAAAUCAUGCUUACAAUCAGUCUCCGAGUACUAUGCCAAUCACCCUAAAAUAGCUCUGGACCUUUGGGUCAAAGUUGUGACAAUGUGUACAAAUAAACAAAAAUAUGUUGGUGCUUCUUUCAGAAAAGAGUACGCCCCUAGAAAACUUCCAAUAUAAGCUACUAGUAUUUUUUUAAGUCUAAGCUACUAGUAUUUGGUUAGAGGAUUUGUUGCCGAGAAAGAUUUGUCCACAGUGAGCGCCACACAUCCCACUGAUGGUGGUGGUUGCCAAUGCUUAGAUGGAGCAGGGUUGGUGUCAGUAAUUUUUACUUGGCGCCUCGCACUCUGCAUAUAUACCGGUUCCAUCCGUACAUUUGUGCAGUGCCACCAAAAUGCAGCUGAAUAACCCUGUUUCCACAGAUAAUGAAAAGGCGUGAUUAGAUUAUAGUGGCACUAGUUGAUGAAACAUACACUAAUAAAUAGAAGAAAUAUUACAUCAUACUGGAAAUUGACCCAAGUCUCCCCGAUACACCUUCUGGCAGUGAUGAACAUCAGUGUACAGCGGUAGUACAAGGAGGGGCAUUGAGACAUUCAAAUCUCUAUUUUUGUGCAGAUCAACUCAAAUUAAGCACCCUAGUUUGCAGAAACGCUUAAACAUUAACAAUGGGACUAGUUGAUGAAACGUACAUUAACAAAGAGAAGCACUUUAUUUAUCUACAUUGGAAAUGAAAUGAUAGAGAGGACCCUCGCUCAAUUUUAACUGUAUUAUUACUUCAUUUUAUCAGUGACACUAGGGUCGAGCAGGUGGCAAACGAGGUGUACCGUGCGUCUCAAGGAUGAAGGCCGGGGGUGCUUAGACUGGGAUGCUGAAGCUGGCUCUUUCAGUCCCUAUCUUCCCCCUGAUGUUUCUGUGGUAGCAUUUGGGUUGUAAUCGAAACUUGGUCGAGCUGGUGCUGCGUCCCCCUACCUGCCUAGCUUAUGUGGCGAACUUGUCUCCUGCUAGUACUCAGUCCCUUCUAGUAGUAGUUGCAUAACUGCCCGUUUACACUGAGAUGUUGUCGGAUAAUGGUUCUCUAUGGUUGGGUUUCUUUAAUGAAAUCGGAGGGAACCCCCUCUUUUGAUAUAUAAAAAAACAGUGGCACUAGCGGUGCCAAACCAUUGCCUCAAAUUAAUAGUGCCACUAGAUUAAGGUGCAAAAUAAUAACAUUACUUCUUUAUCAUGGUAGUGCCAAAACAAUAGCACAAGAGCAGGAUCAACAUGCAGGAUCUUUGGCAAACGGUCAGACCAAAAAGGAACAUACCUCGUGAUUGGAACCAUAUCUGCAGUCAACGCCAUCAUAGAAGGGAUGACACCAGUCACCAACGUGGAUGAUUCAAUUCAUGGGACCUUUUGGUGAAGUUCGCCUAAAAUGAAGCAAUGUCCCAUGAGCUAGCAGCUUCUUCUUCUUUUUUUUUAAGAAAAGGGCUCCAGCCCCGGUUCCAUUUCCAUCAGAAAACGAAACCCACAGAGCUUCUUCAUUAGUUGCAAUAAAAUUGAGCAACAUCAAGGUUGGUCGUGAAGCUCCUGGAGAGUAGGCGGACUAGGACAGUUGCAUCUCUAACGAAAAGAAGCUACUUAUCUUAAUGGGAAAUUUAGCAGGACAUGAAAAAAAGUGCCAUUGAUUCAUAUUACUGGAGGCAUUACAUUGAAAACAACAUUGGUUUAACGUGUCCUUACUUUUAACAGUGCGACUGCUACAUUUUACCAGUGGCAUUACAUAAGAGCGGCUCGGGGCAACAAACAUCAGAAGAGGAUAUCUGGGUUGGUCCCAUUUUUGUUCGGUAUAUAGCCACCUUAUACUGUGUGAGGCUAGCAAAUAUAGUGUUGGACUUACUUUGUUGACUUGUCCCCAGUCCCCACUUUCUUUCCUUUUUCAACCAAUAGAUCGGGUUUAUAUUGAGUUUGUACUGCAUUCCCUUUAUUUCCCUAUUAGACCUAGAAACCAGUUCGAUAGCCAGUCUCUGCUACUUUUCGCCCCCAUUAUUUCCUCUUUCAACCAAGUCCUAGAUUCAGGUAACAAAUCUUCCCCCACCCCCACCCCCUUUUCCCUUGUUUGAACCAAGUACUACUAGAUUCGAGUGCAUGAACUAGUUUUACCUCUUAACAGUAAAAAAUUAGGUGGUUUUCGAACAGCCGAUCGAUCCUAUCUACACGAGGGGGCCUGAGAAAUAGUAAAAGAUACAAAUGCAGCGAUGUCGGGAGCUCGGGAAGUAGAGCAAGGCCGGUUUCGACGGAAUUUAUACCUGAGGGUCGCCGGGACGUCGCUAGGUGGGCGGCGGGAGGCCGGAUCUGCCCACACUACGGCAGCGAGGAAGAAGGGGUGGGAGGCCCUCCCUCGCCAUCGAUGCUUGGGAGAGAACGGCAAGGCACGCUGAUCGGGACGCGCCGACAGUGGGUAAGAGCCGUCGCCGAGGACGACCGCGUGAACGUUGCACCUUCUCACCUUCCCCGGCGGAGAGGAUCCGGCUGGAUCUAUGACCAGCGGUGAGUAGAGAGAGAGAGUGUGUGGCCACCGCUGUCGUGUUUAGAUCCGGAGAGGACGAGACAGUGUGAAGAGAGCACCACUAGCAAGCAAGCGCGGAGGCUCCUGCCUAUAUAGUGGAGUACUAGUUUUCUUUUGUCUACCGGAUGGAGCCGGCUUGACCUCGGCAAUGACUGUCGAGAAGUCUUCAUGCACGUGCCCCGGAGGCGCAGUUGUCGUCACUUUUAUUCGAAGCACGGGAUUAUAACAUAUAACACGAAAAAAUGCCACAUGACAAGAAAUCAUAACCUCACCGCCCCAAGGAGACGAGAUGAAUCUAGACAGACAAACUAGACGAGGAUCAAAGAUCAAAUUAAAGAUAAACUCGUAGAAAAGGGUUUCGUUGAUAGAUGUCCUAAUUAACAUAGCCGGCUUGACCUAGAUGGCAGCUGAGUAGUCUUCGUGCAUGUGCCCCCAAUGACUAGCCCAACUCAGUUGUCGCUGUUUAACCCUCGCAGUGAUCCGAAGCACAUGACACCUAAUUUUGCGAGAUGACAAGAAACCUUUUUUUAGAUUUCUCACCAGAACUAUAGCCCUGUACAACACAGCCUGCACGAUAUGUAGACGAUAGCCAAUCCAGGCGUGUCUGCUGGAGUCUGGUCACAUGCAUGGAUGAAGUGAUCUUCCGAGUCUUGCAGGGAUCGUCUAGGUACCAAGGUGGAGUAUGUACUUCUAUUAACUCACCCGACUUGAGGGGCCGGGGAGCUAUGGUCGGUUCUCAAUUGCGGUCCCACAUGUGUGUGCAAAUGCAAUAUGAUGCGCGUUCCAUUCGGAGACCGGCGUGCCAGACCGACCGACCGUCUGGGGUGUGACGCGAACGCGACGGGCGUGCUGUAUACUCUGUACAUGUGUACCGCCGUUUUCUUCUGGCUUUGCUCCAUGGCACAAUCCAUGGAUACAAAAUUAGUAUACUAUACUAUUUAAAAGUCGAGGGCGGGGCUUUUCCCGCACGGUAGGCGGGGCAGUUCUGCCUAGUCGGUUCGACAGAGACGCGAGAAGAUGAGGGAGUAGGCUGCUGCAAACGUAGGGCUGUGUGAUUUGACAGUGAGUUACUGCUGGACAGAUGGGGCCCGGUGAUUUGACUUGCCAUUAUCAUUUUAACUCCGGCGCUACGACCGGCUUGAGUCUCCCGAUUCCUAACAACCUCCAUACAGGUGCCUCUCCCGAAGCUCCACCAUGUAGAAGUUGGCUCUUGCUUGAGAGCCCACUCCUCCACUUUUUCCUUGCCUCUUUCCCCCACAUACGCAAAAAUGCCAUGUAAAGCGGGCUUAUAGCCCACUAUUGUACUUGAUCCUACUACUGCUAAGCCUGCCACAUAGGCAUAAAGUCUGAUGUGGCAAGUUAAUUAGGAAGAGAGAGACUAGUUUGGUGACCCCAGGAAGAAACGGUGCUAAGCGCGUGUACCUAGAUGAAGCAAACUUAGCAACAAAAAACUAA
This 10241-nucleotide long non-coding RNA is filed under the name Triticum aestivum (bread wheat). RNAcentral describes it as "long non-coding RNA (TAES_LNC012967)". Lineage: Eukaryota; Viridiplantae; Streptophyta; Magnoliopsida; Poales; Poaceae. The record is from RNAcentral.